RNAcentral lists this ribosomal RNA (432 nucleotides) under Triticum aestivum (bread wheat). RNAcentral's name for it is "partial small subunit ribosomal RNA". The record is from RNAcentral. Lineage: Eukaryota; Viridiplantae; Streptophyta; Magnoliopsida; Poales; Poaceae.
AUGGAGGUGAAGCUCAAGGACCUCGUCCCGGCAGCGACUAACACAGUGAACACGACGUUCAUCGUGGUUGACAAGGCGCCACGCCCGGCCCACGCAAACGCGCACGGCAGGGAGGAGACAUGCCCGUCACUAGUGGCUGACGAGACGGCAGCGGUGCAUUUCCUUCUGUGGGGCACCGAGUGCGAUGCCUUCGAGUCUGGGGACAUCGUGCGGCUCACGAGUGGCAUCUUCUCGUACCAUAGAGGCAACAACCUGUUCUUGCGCGCCGGGAAGCGAGGACGAAUGGAGAAGGUGGGCGAGUUCACCAUGAUGUUCGUCGAGACGCCCAACAUGAGCGAGGUGAGGUGGGGGCCCGAUCCAGGCGACCCAAGGAAGAUGGUGCAGGAGGCUGUCGUGUCGCCCUACUCCCAAGUCUUCAAGCCGCUGCAUUGA